This 199-nucleotide ribosomal RNA is filed under the name uncultured bacterium. Its description in RNAcentral is "partial 16S ribosomal RNA". It matches the Rfam family "Bacterial small subunit ribosomal RNA", at positions 156 to 353 of the family's 1533-position model. The record is from RNAcentral.
AGGAGUGCUAAUACCGCAUGAUGCAGUUGGGUCGCAUGGCUCUGACUGCCAAAGAUUUAUCGCUCUGAGAUGGCCUCGCGUCUGAUUAGCCAGUUGGCAGGGUAACGGCCUACCAAAGCGACGAUCAGUAGCCGACCUGAGAGGGUGACCGGCCACAUUGGGACUGAGACACGGCCCAAACUCCUACGGGAGCAGCAUG